AGACAGCUGAGAUCAAGGACGCCAGACUCAUUCUGACUUAGCUCAUCUUCUGUUCCUAAUUAAUAUUGGCUGUUUCUGUCUCCAGUUUGAUUGAAGGCCCUAGACAUCAGCCUUCACUCAGUUUAGAGACGAGAACCACUUAGGGUCAACCAAGCAUUCAUGUGGGUUGAAGUCAGUGGACUGCACCAGGCACGGGCAGCGGAAGCGGAUCCGACUAGGAACCAUAAGGUUGUGGGUUCGAUCCCUGGCCUCACUCAGUGGGUUAAGGAUCCAGCGUUGCCAUGAGCUGUGGUGUAGGUCGCAGACACGGCUCGGAUCCUGUGUUGCUGUGGCUGUGGUGUAGGCUGGCAGCUACAGCUCCGAUUAGACCCCUAGCCUGGGAACCUCCGUAUGCCGAGAUUGUGGCCCUCAAAAGACCAAAGGGAAAAAAAAAAAAAAAGAAAUGUGAUAAACAGAACUCGCACUAGGUGGGUGGGUGACUUACAAAGUGAACUCUCACAAAAGACUUCUUGUCGUUUCACUUGCCAAACACCAGCCAGAGACUAAGAAUAUUCCUCUGACCUGAAAGUCAGGUAGCACAUCAUGUUCCCUAGGACCCCCUGAGGGCUGGCAUCCACCUGGGGACUCCCUGAAGGGUGGGGAGCAGCUGGUGGCCACCAAGGGGUGGCCUGAUGGGAAGGGACUGGACCUCACUGGUGUUCAUGUUCCUGGGAGGCUCCCAGCCCUUGGUGAGGACCUCCCCAGGAGAGGCCAGGCGCUGAGGGUCCCAAAAAGACCACUAGAUACUGAAUUGCUCCCGUUGAUUCCAGGCAGAUGGCCCAGGGAUCAGGGUUGCCUCAUGAUGAACUUGGAAGUUCUUCUGUUUCUUUUGUCUGUCUUUAAUGGAAAUAAAGAUCAAGUGAUGAGAAGCAAAGCCAACUUAUCAGAGCUUGCUGUAACAAAGGACAGCCAUCAUCACUGCCAUUGGCAGAGACACAAAGGCAGACGGAGGAGCAGAAAGGCUUCUGAGUGAGGAAAGGGGUGGCUCAGGGGCACCCUGCUCAGGCUUCGGGGCAGGGAAGCUGGGCGCCCAGCCAGAUGCCCGGGACCCAUGUGACUGUCUGGGGCUGCCUCGUUGGCUUUCUCUUGGGAGAACCAUCAGUUAUUAGUCAAGUUCUGACUAACUGGAAACAACUGGAAGCCCAUGGGCUCCCAGGACAGCUUCUGGAGAUGGCAGUGGGACGACCUGUAAGUGUGAGAACAGAAGGGCUUCCCGGGAUGGUUACUGCAGAUGCAGGUCAGAGGUGGUUUUAUAUACGGUCCUGUCACUAUUCAUGUGUGUAUUCAGUCUCAAGUUUAAAUAAGCAAAUUUCCAGUUUUCCUGAAUUUUUUUGGCCACACCCUUGGCAUGUGGAAGUUCCCAGAUGAAUCUGCGACCUGUGCCUCAGCUAUGGCAACACUGGGUCCUUAACCCACGGCAAGACAGCAGGAGCUCCUGGUUUUCCUGAAUUUUAUCCUAAGAAUGAAAUCAACCUACACCCCUAAGAAAUCGUAAAUGAACUGACAUUAGUAAAAAACAGCUUGCAGUUGUGCAGUUACAUUUUUAAAUACAUAAGAAGUGCUGUCCAGAGAACACACGUCCUGCGCAAUCUCUAAUCGGCUCGUACAGCCGUGGGAAGGGCCUGCUGAGCCCCAGGCACGUUCAGAAUCCACCCAUGGUCAAGGGAGAGCCAUCCUGGGAGCCGCGGGGAGUUAUGUGAGAAAGAUAAUUAGAGAAGACUCUGGGGGAUCCAGUGGCAGUAACGCUGUAUCACAGCCUCGUUUUUGUUUUAUUGCCUUAGUUUGCCCUCAAGAAACACGGAAACAGUCCCUGCGGUGCUCCUGUGAGAUCCUGAAAGCUUUGCGAUGUCUGUGGCCGAGUUGAAACAAUGAGUCUCGUCCCUGAUGGAGAUGAGUGCAUGGACACCCAGCUCAGCCGAAGCAGGCCACCUGCCUCUGAAAUGUCUGAACAGGAUUCUCCCAUCUCGCAGCAGCCCGUACCAUCCCAAGGAGGAAGGUGGGUUCUGAAUCCCACUCGAGCGGGGGUCGGGGGUCAGCAACUUUGAGAGAGCUGAGCAGCACUUGGGUAUUAAAGCCAGUGCGUUCUCAGAAAUCCUCGGAGCGUCUACGGAUGGGUUCCCUGGCCACCCCUGCAGGCCUCUCAGAAGGGGUGGUGCGUGCAAAUGCCAGCGACAACUUCAUCGCAGGUCUGCCUUCUCGUCUCCCUUUGGAGUCACCCAGCCUGCUGGGGGCGCUCGCUCUCCACCCCGCAGGUCCUGUGCUGCCUGGCCCUGUCUCCCUCCCGAUCCCCUCUCAGGACAACACUUGCAGCUCCAGGCUGGCUGCCGUGACCUGCUGGUAAACGUUUAACAACCAGCUCUCCAGAAAGCAAACCUGAAUGCAUAAGUAUACGCGCAUAGUCAGUGUACACGGCAACGGUAGAGAGAACGAACGCACAGUGCACAAUUGCAAAUGAUACAACACACAGCACCCCAUUUCAACCCACAUGGCCAGCCGAGUCUCACAGGUGCUUGUGUGGAGUUUUGCCAAACGCUUGCAUCUGUGACCAACCUGUGACUGCAGCCGACAAACGAGUGUGGUUCUGGCAUGAACACUGGCCGAGUCCUCGUUUACGUUUGUGAGCAAGACAGAUGUGAGACAACGCAAGCGUCAGGACAAUGUCCAAACCGGACCCGAACGUUAAUGACAUGCGCAAUUGCUGUGCUAAAUUGGAAAAUAAUUUCCGAAUGCUGGAGGAAAUUUUCCACAAGCUUUCACACUGUUUACAGUAUAAGGGCCGCUGGCCUGAGACACGCCCAAGGCAAACCGCGUUUCUACGUUGUCUCCAUGGCUCUCUCAGGUCAAAACCAGAAUAACUCCCGAUGUAGGCUUUUUGCUUGUGUUCCUGGUGUAAUUAUUUCGAGCAACCAUCACGUCACUGACCGUGGACUUUGAGAUGCACAGUAAGUAGCAGCCUGAUGCCGCAUAAUGACUGUGUUUAACAGUCAGCUCCCAAGAUUCCUGAAAAUCUCCCCAGCGGCUGUCAGGAGCUGUGCAAACCCCCUCCAGCAUGUCGCCGGUCGCCUGCGUAGCUUUUCAGGAUGCAGAACAAGCCCAGCCUCGAAUCCGAUGGCAGUGCAGGGGCUCUUGAAUCUUGGGAUGAUAAGUGCUUCACCCAAAGUUACUCAGCUGGUAGGUUCAAGUAAAGUUUUUUUAUUCUUUCAUAAAUUCAGCAAAUGUUAAUGAAGCGCCUACUACGUGCUGUAAUCACUGUGAUUCCUGUUGAGACCGGUCGUCCCAGCCCGCCUCCCAGCGUGGAUGCCCAGCUAGUUCUUUCUCCUAGACUCUGCUCCCCCUUCCCUCCUGGGUCCGCUCAUCCUCCGCUCAAGGCCUGAGCGUUCCGGAGACCAGUGGAGGGUGCCAGUGACCAAGCAGCCUUGCCCACUCCUCCUCCUCCCACAAGAACACACUGCCAGGUCCCAUCCAUUCCUCCUCCCAGAGCCCUCAAGUGCCCCCACGGCUCACCUCUGCAGCCUUGACGCUGCUACGAGCCCCCAUGACCGCCCGCCUCGGCUGCUUCAGGAGCCUCCGAGCUGGUCUCCGGCUCCCUCUGCCCAGCCCACUCUCCACUCUGCAACCAAGGUGAUUCUUUAAAAUAAGAAUCCCUGUUUCAGUACCAUUUCUCAGCUUAAUAACCGUCCAAUGGUGGAGGGGGCAUCGCCUCCAGAUGCAGCCUGCUCGGGUGCAUUGCUCGCCAGCUGGGUAACUUGGGGCAAGACGAAGCAGCAGCUCUGCGUUUGGUCCCCCACCUGCAGGAAGAGGAAAAUCUAGCGCCCGUCGGAUAGAGGGCUUGGAGGGUUAAACCCAUUAGCAACGUGAAGGGCUCCAAACGCGGCAUCCUCGCCCCCAUCUCUAGGAUGAACACAAGACCCCUGACCUGCGCCUGACUCUCGUCCAGCCGCUGCUGCCAGCACCCUCUGCACUGCUCUGUGUCCCAGAGCCCAGGCCUCUCCAAGGCCUCUCACCACACCGGCCUCGCCCAAGCCCAUCUCACCACCCGCCACCCCUCCCUCCCCCACCUGGCUGCACCUCUGCCUCAGUGGAUCCUCAGCACUCUUUCAAGACCUUGUCUGCAGCAAAGCCUUCCCUCGGCCCUAGUCGAGUUCAAGUCUCAUCCUGGGCCUGCAGAUCCCAUGUCCCAUUGUACUCACACACUGAUAAGGACAAGGACAUAACAGGUCAUGUCCUGUCUACACUGUGGACUGCGUGAGAGUGCCCAGUGCCUUGUAAGCUACCUGGAACGGGGUGGAUGCUAGUAUAUAGGGAAUCUGCAUGGUAAACAGGACUUUUCCAACUCUAUCCAAUCGCUUGUGAUAAAACAUGAUAGAAGAAAUGAGAAAAAGAAUGUGUAUUUGUGUAUAUAUAACGGGGGCACUUUGCAGUACAGCAGAAUUUGACAGAACAUUGUAAGUCAACUGUAAUACAACAUUUUUUUAAAAAAAUAAAUGAAGUGGACUUUUCCAAGAUCCAUCUGGAUCUUGAGACCAUCGUAAGCAAUGCUUCAUUCAGCAAAAUGCCAGUGUGAGUUAGAAAGUUUGGCUGCACACCUAGAUUUGCCUAAAGAAGCGUUUGGUGUCAGCUCUUUCCCCCAACACUCAAUUUCCCCAAACUGCCAAGAGCCCUGCUUAGCCUCUGCCAAGGGCUGAACAGGACAGGAAAAGAACAAGUAACAUUCUGGGGGUCUUCUCAGAGUGCUUUACCCCGUAGGAUUACUAGCCGUUGCGCAUCCUUGGCUCCCCAAGACCAUUCCUCGGGAUUCCAGAGGGUGAGCAGCUCUCACACUUACUGAGCAUCUGCGGGGCCAGGACGUCUUUGCAGCCUCUUCACGUGCUUUAACUCUGUCCUGCCAGGAGAGACUUGUCCAGAGAGGAGUUCAGCUUCCCAAAGGGAAACCUGAAAACCGGGGCGGUCAGGCUCGCUGAGACGCAGCAGUUCUUCCCUUGUGGGGGCCUCCCGCGGAGGCCUCAAUAUGUUUUGUUUGUUUUAAGUCUUUACCAGAGAAAAAUACUAAGUAAAUUGUUACAUAUGGAUGGGGAAUUCAUUGUACUAGACUCUCAGUUCCUGAACGUAAGUAAAACUUGGCACCCAACACCCAGAGCAGACAACGUCUUUUGAAACAAAAGUUGAACAUUUAUAAAAAUUGAUCAUCUAGGAAACUGUAAAGCAAGUAUCAACAAGUCUCAGAGGACCUGUACCAUAUAGGCCAUUUCUGGAACACAAAGAACUUGAGGUAUGAAUCAAUAAUGAAAGAACAGAUAAAACUGUCCAAAUAUUUGAAAUUUUGAAAUGCGUUAUAAGUAACCCAGAGGUCUAAGAAGAACUGUAUGAUAAUAAAUAAAAACUGUGUGAUAAUGAAAGGCCAUGAAAACAGUACUUGGAGAUAGACUUACACCCUUAAGUGCUUAUUUUUACAUCAGAACAAAACCUGAAAAUUAGCAAAAUACACAUCUUCAAACAUUGGAGCAAAUAAGAACGGAAAAUUUUUUUUUUCAAGAAAAAAGCAAUGAACAUAAGAACAGGUGUUAAGUAACACAAAAACCAAAAAUACAUUUAAGAAGUGAAGCAGUGGCUCUCCCUGUGACCUCUCCGUGCCCCCCUGGCUCAGCUGACACCCUUCCUCUGAGCCAAAGCCGCUCCUGGGCUCAAUUCCAUUCCCUUAAGUUAUACUGACCAUCUUCCAUCAAGGAUUCACUGACCCCAGAGGAAAAGUCUACGAGCAGCAUUGACUUUGCCCUCCUCCCAGGUCCCUGUUCCCUCUCUGUCUAGCUCUGCAUCCCAGGAGACCGACACCUACAGACUGCAGCACGCAGCAGCCUUGAUCCCUGGCAUCCUGCCAGGUUGGUUUGGUCAACGGGCGGCACAGGCAUGGGAUUGGAGGCCAGAGGAAUAUACAUGCGUGAGGAUGACUGCCUGUCACAGCCCUAACAGCACACUUGUCCUUACAGGGUGUCAUCGUCAGUGGGCUGCGUGAUGAUGCUAAUGGCACUGGGGGAAAGAGCUGUGUCGUAAUGGAACUGCGGUAGCUCAGUCUCCAAAUACAACCAGCUCUCAGUGGGUACCUCCAUGCAGACUGUACCAUGUAUAGAGUAAAAGUGAAAUCUCUGAAAUCAGGCAUACCUGGGCUCAAAUCCUGUUCCUUGCUGUGGAAUUACGAGCAGAUACUCAACCUCUCUAAACCUUGAUAACUUCAAAUUGACUGUAAUAGUAGUAGCCACCUAUGAUGGUUAGUUUUAUGUGUCAGCUUGGCAGGGGUGCUUGGAUUAAUCAUUAUCCCUGAGAGAGGAUUUCUGGAUGAGUUAGUAUUGAAUUGGUGGACUCAGUAAAUUGCCCCCUUUCCGGGGCUGGGUAUCAUCCAACCCACUGGGGCCUGAAUGGGACAAAAGUCAGAGGAAGGAGGAAUUGGCCCCUUUGUGUCUGUGUCUGUCUGAGCUGGGACACCUCAACAUCUCUAGGCCUCAGACGGGGACUUAACCAUAGGUUUCCUGGUUCUUGGGCCUUUGGACUUGGAUGCGAAUUACACCACCAGCUUUCCUGGGUCUCCAGCUUGCAGAUUGUGGACUUUUCAACCUCCAUAGUCACAUGAGCCAAUCCCUCAUAAUAAAAAAAUAUAUAAUUGG
This 6695-nucleotide long non-coding RNA is filed under the name Sus scrofa (pig). Its description in RNAcentral is "lncRNA (ENSSSCG00000061525.1)". The record is from RNAcentral. Lineage: Eukaryota; Metazoa; Chordata; Mammalia; Artiodactyla; Suidae.